UGGGGAAUUUUGGACAAUGGGCGCAAGCCUGAUCCAGCCAUGCCGCGUGCGGGAAGAAGGCCUUCGGGUUGUAAACCGCUUUUGUCAGGGAAGAAAUCUUCUGAGUUAAUACCUCGGGAGGAUGACGGUACCUGAAGAAUAAGCACCGGCUAACUACGUGCCAGCAGCCGCGGUAAUACGUAGGGUGCAAGCGUUAAUCGGAAUUACUGGGCGUAAAGCGUGCGCAGGCGGUUUUGUAAGACAGAGGUGAAAUCCCCGGGCUCAACCUGGGAACUGCCUUUGUGACUGCAAGGCUUGAGUGCGGCAGAGGGGGCAUGGAAUUCCGCGUGUAGCAGUGAAAUGCGUAGAUAUGCGGAGGAACACCGAUGGCGAAGGCAAUUCCCCCUGGGCCUGCACUGACGCUCAUGCACGAAAGCGUGGGGAGCAAACAGGAUUAGAUACCCUGGUAGUCCNCGCCCUAAACGAUGUCAACUGGUUGUU
This 480-nucleotide ribosomal RNA is filed under the name uncultured bacterium. RNAcentral describes it as "partial 16S ribosomal RNA". It matches the Rfam family "Bacterial small subunit ribosomal RNA", at positions 355 to 824 of the family's 1533-position model. The record is from RNAcentral.